Apis cerana (Asiatic honeybee) is the source of this 2710-nucleotide long non-coding RNA. RefSeq lists it as uncharacterized. NCBI's taxonomy places the organism in Eukaryota, Metazoa, Arthropoda, Insecta, Hymenoptera, Apidae. The record is from RefSeq and is a predicted model, not a curated record.
AGAGUCUCAUGGGCGAGUACUCGUGAGAUAGUUUUUCAGCCUUUAUGAAAAUAUAUCUUGCCACUGGAUGCACCUGCUUCUAAGUGGAGGCGUGGAGGCACUUAACGAUUCUUUUAUCCCUGUGAAAAGAUUUUUAAAGUUAGAAAAUGCCUUCUUUAGUGAAAAAUAUCUCCUUUCCAUGGUUGGAAAAUAUCCAAUAAGUCUUUCUAAUAAAUUUAUUCAACAAUCAUUAUUGAUUGUAUAUAAAUAAUUACAAUAUAUAAAAAUGACAGAAAAUGGAAUGAAAAAUUAUUAUCCAACAAAUUUAUUUUAAUAUUCUAAAUAUAUAUCAAAUCAAACAAAUUUCUUAUUUGAAAAUCGUACGCACUGCUUGGUUUCUAGAAAAUUCAGGCCAACGGAAAAUAAAAAUUUCCCCAUGAAACAUUUUUUUUCAUGUUGGUCAUAGUUUCCCUUUUAUUCUACUACUCGUUUUUCCCCAAUUUUAGGGUAUGAAAGAACUGUAAGAGCUCAGAAGGGUCAGUUGAACGACAAAUUUUGUACGAUAUCAGGUAUAGUUCUUUCAGUUACGCUUCAAGUAAUUACAUAUAGUAAGUAUAUUAUAUUAUUUUACAUUAUUUUUUGGUUCCCGCUUUUCUUUUUUGUGUGAAAAGAAUUAAAUAACUCAUCUGGUGAUAGUUUAUUUGUAGAUAUCGCGAUCACUACAUUGGACAAUUUGUAUAUUAAUUGUAUGACAUACAUAGAAUAUAUUUAUACACAAUGGAAUCUUUAUAUCUAUCUUAUAUCUAUUAUCUAUCUUUAUAUCUAUUCUUGAAGAACAAACGAACAAUGAAUUAGAUGAAUAUAUCAAUUUUUUUAAUAAAAAUCAAUGAAAGAAAGGAAUAAUCGAUUUUCAAUUUCAAAUCAGGAUUCAGAUAAAUAAGUAAUAAAUCGAAAAAAGUAGAUUUUUUAUCAAAAUCGAAAUUUAACUUUAUUUCAAUAUUCCUUUCAAAAUUUCUCAUUUGACGGUACUCAUAAAUCUCAACAUCAAACAUUAAUUGUAUGAUUCAUAAUAUAUAUAUAUAUAGUUGAAUUUCUAUAUAUUCAUUAAAAAAAUGAAAAAAUAUAUUUUUUUCAGUAAGAAAAGGAAUAAUCGGUUUUUAGCUUCGAAUCGGAGUUCAAAUGAAUAAAAUUUUAAAUAAAAAUUUUUAUUUUCAUUGAAAAAUCAUGAAUAAUAGAAAAUAAAUCAAUAAGAAACUUUUGACAACAAAUAUUAAAUUUUUAGAAUAUCGAGAAAUUUUCUGGUCAACAAAAUAUGACGAGUACAGUAGAUGAAUAUAAAAAUUCCAUGUAUAUAUAUGUAUAACUACCUUAUUAUAUGAUACAUAAAAUUCAAUUAUGAUAUUCAACUCAGCAAAUCCAUAACGGUAUACCUUUGUUGCUCAAGGUUUAACGACCAUUUUAACCAUUAAGAAGUUUAUUACUAACAUUUUUAGUAGCUCCCGGCAUUAGCUAUACGUCAGUUUGUCUAUUGCAAUUAACAACACUGAAUUUGCCUGAUUAACCAUUUCUAACCUGAAGGAAUCGUAACUACGCAGCCGCACCCUUCCGGUUCAUAAUAGAAACUGGUGACAGCGAUAUACUGUCGAUAGAUCGCAACACAUAUUGUAGUUAAUUCUGGGUUUAUAUUAUAUUUCUUUGAUGAAAGAUUUGGAAACACAAGCUUGAUUUUCGAUCAUUUUUAUACUUUCGAUGACUAAUUCUAUGAUCUUAUUAACAUGAGAAAUGUAUUAGGUUUGCUGCUGCACCGAUUCCCACGUUUAUUAGCAAGAAUCCACUAUUUUCAAUUUUCGCGCGAAGUGUGGGAAAAACUUAUCGGAUUGGAAUUAGCAUUGAAAAUAAAACAUUCAAGAAAUGUUACGGACUUAUUAAAAUAUUUUUGAAGAAACGUAUCUGAUACAUAUCUGAGAAGAAUUUUUCAUCUAUUUUGAGGAAAUUUUUCAAUUAAAAAUUCGGGAAGACGAAUCGAUUACUGAAAUGAUAUGAAGAAUUGCUGUCUUUGAAAAAAACAUAUGAGACAUUAGAUAUCGAAUGACGUCUGAAGACAGCAGAUCUUCGAACAGUAGGUAGAAAGCCUCUCAAAAUUCAGAACAAAGGAUAUUCUAUUACCGUUUCCCACUUAACAUGGAAAAAGACGCGAGUACAUCUGACUCGAAAAUGUGCUUCACGCCUGCAACAUUGACUUCGCGGAAUCCUUCGCACAUUUCAGAAUAUGUUUUGGAGAUAUUAAACAAUGUAGAUGAUACUAUUUAUGCUAAGAACAAUAUUGACAAAUUUUACUGUUGGAAUUGCAGUACUAUUGGACACAACAGUAAAAUUUGCAAAGAAUUUCAUCACAAGAAUGAACAUCGAUCUCAAUCGAACUCGGAACAAAUAUCACUAUCGUCAAUGAAGAAGCCAUUAAACUUCAAAGAACCUGAAGUGAUUAAACGAUGAGUAAUAGCAAGCAAGAUCAAGUUCAACAAGAAAUAAUAUAAUUAUUGGAAACAUUAAUUUGACUGGAAAUUAUAUUUCUUUUAAUAUUAUAUUUAAUUUUUAAUAUUAUAUUUAAUAUUUUAUUUAAUUAUUUUUAAGUGCAAUGAUAAAUAGUAUAUGUAAAUAAUAAUGCAAUGUAAAUAAUAACAAGAAUAAUGUAUAUAUAAUAAAUAAUGAAUAUCAAUAUAUCACUGUUUGA